CUCAUGGAGAGUUCGAUCCUGGCUCAGGAUGAACAUUGGCGGCAUACUUAACACAUGCUAGUCGGAUCGAAAACAUGGGAAACGGUGUUUCCAGUGGCAGACGAGUGAGUAACGCAUAAGAACCUGCCCUUGGGAGGGGAACAACAGCUGGAAACGGCUGCUAAUACCCCGUAGGUUGAGGAGCAAAAGGAGGAAUCCACCCGAGGAGGGGCUCGCGUCUGAUUAGCUAGUUGGUAAGGCAAUAUCUUACCAAGGCGAUGAUCAGUAGCUGGUCCAAGAGGAUGAUCAGCCACACUGGGACUGAGACACAGCCCAGACUCCUACGGGAGGCAGUAGUGGGGAAUUUUCCGUUAUGGCCGAAAGCCUGACAGAGCAAUGCCGAGUGAAGGUAGAAGGCCUACGGGUCAUGAACUUCUUUUCCCAGAGAAGAAGAAAUAACGGUAUCUGGGUAAUAAGCAUCGGCUAACUCUGUGCCAGCAGCCGCGGUAAUACAUAGGAUGCAAGUGUUAUUCGGAAUAAUUGGGCGUAAAGCGUCUGUAGGUGGCAUUUUAAGUCCGCCGUCAAAUCCCAGGGCUCAACCCUGGAUAGGCGGUGGAAACUACCAAGCUGGAGUAUGGUAGGGGCAGAGGGAAUUUUCGGUGGAGCGGUCAAAUGCGUAGAGAUCAGAAAGAACACCAACGGCGAAAGCACUCUGCCAGGCCAACACUGACACUGAGAGACGAAAGCUUGGGGAGCGAAUGGGAUUAGAUACCCCAGUUUUCCUAGUCGUAAACGAUGGAUACUAGGCGCUGUGCGUAUUGACCCGUGCAGUGCUGUAGCUAACGCGUUAUGUAUCCCACCUGAGGAGUACGUUCACAAGAAUAAAAAUUAAAGGAAUUGACGGGGUCCCGCACAAGCGAUGGAGCAUGUGGUUUAAUUCGAUGCAAAGCGAAGAACCUUACCAGAGCUUGACAUGCCGUGAAUCCUCUUUAAAAAAAGGGGUGCCUUUGGGAAUACGGACACUGGUGAUGCAUAGCUGCCGUCAGCUCACGCCGUAAGGUGUUGGGUCAAGUCCCACAAUGAGCGCAACCCUCGUGUUUAGUUUCCAUCAUUGAGUUUGGAACCCUGAAUAGACUGCCAAAGGAAGGUAAGGAUGACGUCAAGUUAUCAUGCCCCUUAUGCCCUGGACGACACACGUACUACAAUGGCCGGGACAAAGGGUUGCAAUCUCGCGAGGGUGAGCUAACCCCAAAAACCCAUCCUCAGUUCGGAUUGCAGGCUGCAACUCGCCUGCAUGAAGCCAGAAUCGCUAGUAAUCGCCUGUCGGCCAUACGACGGUGAAUUCGUUCUCGGGCCUUGAACACACCGCCGGUCAUACUAUGGGAGCUUGCUAUGCCCGAAGUCAUUACCUUAACCGUAAGGAGGGGGAUACUGAAGGCAGGGAUAGUGACUGGAGUGAAGUCGUAACUAGGUAGCCGUACUGGAAGGUGCGGCUGGAUCACCUCCUUU
Non-coding RNA from Capsicum annuum, 1488 nucleotides. The record is from Rfam. NCBI's taxonomy places the organism in Eukaryota, Viridiplantae, Streptophyta, Magnoliopsida, Solanales, Solanaceae.